UACGGAGGGGGCUAGCGUUGUUCGGAAUUACUGGGCGUAAAGCGCACGUAGGCGGGCUGGAAAGUCAGGGGUGAAAUCCCGGGGCUCAACCCCGGAACUGCCUUUGAAACUUCCAGUCUUGAGGUCGAGAGAGGUGGGUGGAAUUCCGAGUGUAGAGGUGAAAUUCGUAGAUAUUCGGAGGAACACCGGUGGCGAAGGCGGCCCACUGGCUCGAUACUGACGCUGAGGUGCGAAAGCGUGGGGAGCAAACAGG
Molecule: ribosomal RNA, 253 nt
Filed under: uncultured bacterium
Lineage: Bacteria
Description: partial 16S ribosomal RNA
Rfam family: Bacterial small subunit ribosomal RNA
Source: RNAcentral